GUUUCCCUUCUCAAUUGAGGAAUGGUUUGUCGAAACCUGGUGUUCCCAGCGAGUUUCUUGAAAUCUUAUUUAAAUAGGCAGAUGAUGUUGAAGAAUAUCCCAAGAUUCCAGAGGCGAAAGGGUCGAUUAAGGCCAUCCGUAGUGAGGCCUUCUUCAUCCCUUUGUAUGAGCUUUACAUCACUUGUGGUGGGAUUUUCAGGCUAACCUUUAGAUCAAAGUCGUUUUUUAUUGUUUCUGAUCCUUCCAUUGCUAAGCAUAUAUUGAGGGACAACUCAAAGUCUUAUUCAAAGGGUAUAUUAGCAGAGAUUUUGGAUUUUUUCAUGGGAAAAGGACUUAUCCCUGCCGAUGGUCAGAUAUGGCGUGUUAGAAGACGUGCUAUAGACCCAUCAUUGCAUCAAAA
Hibiscus syriacus is the source of this 400-nucleotide long non-coding RNA. RefSeq lists it as uncharacterized. NCBI's taxonomy places the organism in Eukaryota, Viridiplantae, Streptophyta, Magnoliopsida, Malvales, Malvaceae. The transcript is spliced from 3 exons. The record is from RefSeq and is a predicted model, not a curated record.